Molecule: ribosomal RNA, 497 nt
Filed under: uncultured bacterium
Lineage: Bacteria
Description: partial 16S ribosomal RNA
Rfam family: Bacterial small subunit ribosomal RNA
Source: RNAcentral
GACGAACGCGGGCGGCGUGCCUAAUACAUGCAAGUCGAGCGAACAGACGAGGAGCUUGCUCCUCUGACGUUAGCGGCGGACGGGUGAGUAACACGUGGAUAACCUACCUAUAAGACUGGGAUAACUUCGGGAAACCGGAGCUAAUACCGGAUAAUAUAUUGAACCGCAUGGUUCAAUAGUGAAAGGCGGUUUUGCUGUCACUUAUAGAUGGAUCCGCGCCGCAUUAGCUAGUUGGUAAGGUAACGGCUUACCAAGGCGACGAUGCGUAGCCGACCUGAGAGGGUGAUCGGCCACACUGGAACUGAGACACGGUCCAGACUCCUACGGGAGGCAGCAGUAGGGAAUCUUCCGCAAUGGGCGAAAGCCUGACGGAGCAACGCCGCGUGAGUGAUGAAGGUCUUCGGAUCGUAAAACUCUGUUAUUAGGGAAGAACAAAUGUGUAAGUAACUAUGCACGUCUUGACGGUACCUAAUCAGAAAGCCACGGCUAACUACGUG